UGUAGCCCACUGUCCGAUGCGUUCAGAUUGUGCACACAUGUGCUGGGCAAUCAGCCGAUAAUUGGAUUACUGCGCAUAAAGCGCAUGGUUUUUGUAUUGGUUCCCGGAUAACUAUUAUGUAAAAUAAAUGUUUUGCGUUGCGUUCGGGACACAGAGAAUAUCAGUAAUGGCCGAACAGUUGUCAUUCAGGAUUCGAAAGAGGCUGGCUCACAUGACGAGGAAGCUAACUUGGAUGAAGAUGAAAUUAAUAAGAGAUUUGUAUUGUAUUCUAAAGAUUGAAUAAAUGAAUGCUUCUUUGGA
Long non-coding RNA from Dreissena polymorpha, 300 nucleotides. RefSeq lists it as uncharacterized. The record is from RefSeq and is a predicted model, not a curated record. NCBI's taxonomy places the organism in Eukaryota, Metazoa, Mollusca, Bivalvia, Myida, Dreissenidae. The transcript has 2 exons.